Agelaius phoeniceus (red-winged blackbird) is the source of this 231-nucleotide non-coding RNA. The record is from RefSeq and is a predicted model, not a curated record. NCBI's taxonomy places the organism in Eukaryota, Metazoa, Chordata, Aves, Passeriformes, Icteridae.
GAGAAAUAAUUAUUCCUUGUAUCAGUGUUAAAAGAGUCAACAAGCUUCAAAAAGCUUGCUUGGGGAACCUCCUCCAAAGCAGAAUGCGUUCCCGAGGAGUUGGGCCUAGCAAUAUGGCAGCGCACGUUCCAUAGGAAACCCUGCAGAAUGCUGCUGAGCUCUGUUCCCAAGGAGGGCACAAUCCCUGCCCCGCUCCAGCCUCCACCACUGCAGGGACUGAGUUUUCUCCCC